UCCAUUUUAAAAUGCAUUUAAUUCAUUUUUUUUUAUUUUUUUAACUGAUUAAUUAUUUAAAAAUGUUGUUGAGGCAUUUGAUUGACUUUGUGAUGUUUGACUUUCUGUUUGUCCUUGAUCAUGGUUGAUUUGAACUUCCAUUUGACCAAUACUAUUGGAUUUAGGGGGUUUGUAAAAUGUACAUUUCAUCCCCCAAAAUGAAUGAAUAGUAUUGAUCAGAUGAAAUUCCUCCUGUG
RNAcentral lists this long non-coding RNA (236 nucleotides) under Lathyrus oleraceus (garden pea). RNAcentral's name for it is "Pisum sativum (pea) long non-coding RNA (PSAT_LNC000184)". The record is from RNAcentral. Lineage: Eukaryota; Viridiplantae; Streptophyta; Magnoliopsida; Fabales; Fabaceae.